GACGAACGCUGGCGGCGUGCUUAACACAUGCAAGUCGAACGGAAAGGCCCUGCUCUUGUGGGGUGCUCGAGUGGCGAACGGGUGAGUAACACGUGAGUAACCUGCCCUUGACUUUGGGAUAACUUCAGGAAACUGGGGCUAAUACCGGAUAGGAGCUCCUGCUGCAUGGUGGGGGUUGGAAAGUUUCGGCGGUUGGGGAUGGACUCGCGGCUUAUCAGCUUGUUGGUGGGGUAGUGGCUUACCAAGGCUUUGACGGGUAGCCGGCCUGAGAGGGUGACCGGCCACAUUGGGACUGAGAUACGGACCAGACUCCUACGGGAGGCAGCAGUGGGGAAUAUUGCACAAUGGGCGGAAGCCUGAUGCAGCAACGCCGCGUGCGGGAUGACGGCCUUCGGGUUGUAAACCGCUUUCGCCUGUGACGAAGCGUGAGUGACGGUAAGGGGUAAAGAAGCACCGGCUAACUACGUG
RNAcentral lists this ribosomal RNA (468 nucleotides) under uncultured bacterium. Its description in RNAcentral is "partial 16S ribosomal RNA". It matches the Rfam family "Bacterial small subunit ribosomal RNA", at positions 28 to 507 of the family's 1533-position model. The record is from RNAcentral.